This 1771-nucleotide ribosomal RNA is filed under the name Salmonella enterica subsp. enterica serovar Enteritidis. RNAcentral describes it as "partial 23S ribosomal RNA". It matches the Rfam family "Bacterial large subunit ribosomal RNA", at positions 1190 to 2925 of the family's 2925-position model. The record is from RNAcentral. Lineage: Bacteria; Pseudomonadati; Pseudomonadota; Gammaproteobacteria; Enterobacterales; Enterobacteriaceae.
UGCACCGAAGCUGCGGCAGCGACGCUUAUGCGUUGUUGGGUAGGGGAGCGUUCUGUAAGCCUGCGAAGGUGGCCUGUGAGGGUUGCUGGAGGUAUCAGAAGUGCGAAUGCUGACAUAAGUAACGAUAAAGCGGGUGAAAAGCCCGCUCGCCGGAAGACCAAGGGUUCCUGUCCAACGUUAAUCGGGGCAGGGUGAGUCGACCCCUAAGGCGAGGCCGAAAGGCGUAGUCGAUGGGAAACGGGUUAAUAUUCCCGUACUUGGUGUUACUGCGAAGGGGGGACGGAGAAGGCUAUGUUGGCCGGGCGACGGUUGUCCCGGUUUAAGCGUGUAGGUGUGUGUUCCAGGUAAAUCCGGUUCACUUUAACACUGAGGCGUGACGACGAGGCACUACGGUGCUGAAGCAACAAAUGCCCUGCUUCCAGGAAAAGCCUCUAAGCAUCAGGUAACAUCAAAUCGUACCCCAAACCGACACAGGUGGUCAGGUAGAGAAUACCAAGGCGCUUGAGAGAACUCGGGUGAAGGAACUAGGCAAAAUGGUGCCGUAACUUCGGGAGAAGGCACGCUGACACGUAGGUGAAGUGAUUUACUCAUGGAGCUGAAGUCAGUCGAAGAUACCAGCUGGCUGCAACUGUUUAUUAAAAACACAGCACUGUGCAAACACGAAAGUGGACGUAUACGGUGUGACGCCUGCCCGGUGCCGGAAGGUUAAUUGAUGGGGUCAGCGCAAGCGAAGCUCCUGAUCGAAGCCCCGGUAAACGGCGGCCGUAACUAUAACGGUCCUAAGGUAGCGAAAUUCCUUGUCGGGUAAGUUCCGACCUGCACGAAUGGCGUAAUGAUGGCCAGGCUGUCUCCACCCGAGACUCAGUGAAAUUGAACUCGCUGUGAAGAUGCAGUGUACCCGCGGCAAGACGGAAAGACCCCGUGAACCUUUACUAUAGCUUGACACUGAACAUUGAGCCUUGAUGUGUAGGAUAGGUGGGAGGCUUUGAAGUGUGGACGCCAGUCUGCAUGGAGCCGACCUUGAAAUACCACCCUUUAAUGUUUGAUGUUCUAACGUGGACCCGUUACCCGGGUUGCGGACAGUGUCUGGUGGGUAGUUUGACUGGGGCGGUCUCCUCCUAAAGAGUAACGGAGGAGCACGAAGGUUGGCUAAUCCUGGUCGGACAUCAGGAGGUUAGUGCAAUGGCAUAAGCCAGCUUGACUGCGAGCGUGACGGCGCGAGCAGGUGCGAAAGCAGGUCAUAGUGAUCCGGUGGUUCUGAAUGGAAGGGCCAUCGCUCAACGGAUAAAAGGUACUCCGGGGAUAACAGGCUGAUACCGCCCAAGAGUUCAUAUCGACGGCGGUGUUUGGCACCUCGAUGUCGGCUCAUCACAUCCUGGGGCUGAAGUAGGUCCCAAGGGUAUGGCUGUUCGCCAUUUAAAGUGGUACGCGAGCUGGGUUUAGAACGUCGUGAGACAGUUCGGUCCCUAUCUGCCGUGGGCGCUGGAGAACUGAGGGGGGCUGCUCCUAGUACGAGAGGACCGGAGUGGACGCAUCACUGGUGUUCGGGUUGUCAUGCCAAUGGCACUGCCCGGUAGCUAAAUGCGGAAGAGAUAAGUGCUGAAAGCAUCUAAGCACGAAACUUGCCCCGAGAUGAGUUCUCCCUGAGACUUAGAGUCUCCUGAAGGAACGUUGAAGACGACGACGUUGAUAGGCCGGGUGUGUAAGCGCAGCGAUGCGUUGAGCUAACCGGUACUAAUGAACCGUGAGGCUUAACCUUACAACGCCGAAG